RNAcentral lists this ribosomal RNA (303 nucleotides) under uncultured bacterium. Its description in RNAcentral is "bacterial SSU rRNA". It matches the Rfam family "Bacterial small subunit ribosomal RNA", at positions 355 to 673 of the family's 1533-position model. The record is from RNAcentral.
UGGGGAAUAUUGGGCAAUGGACGCAAGUCUGACCCAGCAACGCCGCGUGAAGGAAGAAGGCUUUCGGGUUGUAAACUUCUUUUAAGGGGGAAGAGCAGAAGACGGUACCCCUUGAAUAAGCCACGGCUAACUACGUGCCAGCAGCCGCGGUAAUACGUAGGUGGCAAGCGUUGUCCGGAUUUACUGGGUGUAAAGGGCGUGCAGCCGGAGAGACAAGUCAGAUGUGAAAUCCGCGGGCUCAACCCGCGAACUGCAUUUGAAACUGUUUCCCUUGAGUAUCGGAGAGGUCAUCGGAAUUCCUAG